UACGUAGGGGGCAAGCGUUGUCCGGAUUUAUUGGGCGUAAAGAGCGUGUAGGCGGCCAUGUAGGUCCGUUGUGAAAACUCGAGGCUCAACCUCGAGACGUCGGUGGAAACCGUGUGGCUAGAGUCCGGAAGAGGAGAGUGGAAUUCCCGGUGUAGCGGUGAAAUGCGCAGAUAUCGGGAAGAACACCAGUGGCGAAGGCGGCUCUCUGGGACGGUACUGACGCUGAGACGCGAAAGCGUGGGGAGCGAACAGG
RNAcentral lists this ribosomal RNA (253 nucleotides) under uncultured bacterium. Its description in RNAcentral is "partial 16S ribosomal RNA". It matches the Rfam family "Bacterial small subunit ribosomal RNA", at positions 524 to 776 of the family's 1533-position model. The record is from RNAcentral.